CCGCGGUAAUACGAAGGGGGCGAGCGUUGUUCGGAAUUACUGGGCGUAAAGGGCGCGCAGGCGGCGCGAGAAGUCAGGCGUGAAAGCCCCGGGCUCAACCUGGGAAUAGCGCUUGAUACUCUGGUGCUGGAGUACGGGAGAGGGGAGUGGAAUUCUCAGUGUAGAGGUGAAAUUCGUAGAUAUUGGGAAGAACACCGGUGGCGAAGGCGGCUCUCUGGACCGUAACUGACGCUGAGGCGCGAAAGCGUGGGGAACAAACAGGAUUAGAUACCCUGGUAGUCCACGCUGUAAACGAUGUGCGCUAGACGUUGGGGGACCUAGUCCUCCGGUGUCGCAGCUAACGCGUUAAGCGCACCGCCUGGGGAGUACGGCCGCAAGGUUAAAACUCAAAGGAAUUGACGGGGGCCCGCACAAGCGGUGGAGCAUGUGGUUCAAUUCGACGCGACGCGAAGAACCUUACCAGCCCUUGACAUGUCCCGUAUGGGGCCGAGAGAUCGGCUUCUUCAGUUCGGCUGGCGGGAACACAGGUGCUGCAUGGCUGUCGUCAGCUUGUGUCGUGAGAUGUUGGGUUAAGUCCCGCAACGAGCGCAACCCUCACCUUCAGUUGCCAUCGGGUAGAGCCGGGCACUCUGAAGGAACUGCCGGUGAC
Molecule: ribosomal RNA, 649 nt
Filed under: uncultured Alphaproteobacteria bacterium
Lineage: Bacteria; Pseudomonadati; Pseudomonadota; Alphaproteobacteria
Description: bacterial SSU rRNA
Rfam family: Bacterial small subunit ribosomal RNA
Source: RNAcentral